GGCCUCGUAGCUCAACUGGUAGAGCAUGCGCGUACAAAGCGUAGGCGGUGUCCAUGCGUGGGUUCGAANUUCGAAUCCCACCGAGGCUA
Molecule: transfer RNA, 89 nt
Filed under: Echinostoma caproni
Lineage: Eukaryota; Metazoa; Platyhelminthes; Trematoda; Plagiorchiida; Echinostomatidae
Rfam family: tRNA
About the family: Transfer RNA (tRNA) molecules are approximately 80 nucleotides in length. Their secondary structure includes four short double-helical elements and three loops (D, anti-codon, and T loops). Further hydrogen bonds mediate the characteristic L-shaped molecular structure. tRNAs have two regions of fundamental functional importance: the anti-codon, which is responsible for specific mRNA codon recognition, and the 3' end, to which the tRNAs corresponding amino acid is attached (by aminoacyl-tRNA synthetases). tRNAs cope with the degeneracy of the genetic code in two manners: having more than one tRNA (with a specific anti-codon) for a particular amino acid; and 'wobble' base-pairing, i.e. permitting non-standard base-pairing at the 3rd anti-codon position.
Source: Rfam by way of RNAcentral